This 1862-nucleotide long non-coding RNA is filed under the name Homo sapiens (human). RNAcentral's name for it is "non-protein coding lnc-TXNL4A-2:1". Lineage: Eukaryota; Metazoa; Chordata; Mammalia; Primates; Hominidae. The record is from RNAcentral.
CUGUGGGUAUGGGAGCGCCAUGGGUACGGGAGCACCGUGGGUAUGGGAGGGUACGGGAGCACUGCGGCUAUGAGAGCACCGCGGGUACAGAAGCACUGUGGGAGUUAGCACCCUGGAACCGUGGAUGAAAACCCGUGUGUGUGGGAUGCGGAUACACUUACACACAUGUAAAAUAGUAUUGGGGGUGCUGUGUGGGCGAGAUGGGAGCCGGGGUCAUGGUCCUUUGCCUGCAUACUUCUCCUUGGCUGCGGAACUUGGAACGUGUCUCAGGGAUCCCAGGAGGUGCAGGUGUUCUACCUCUGAGUUUGCCCUGCUCCCUGGGUGAGUGCCAAGCCCCUGUGAGAUCACCUGGGCUAACUUCUGCUUUUAUAAACCUCAGGUGUGGCUGGGGACGGGAUGUCACAGGCACCCCAUCUCCCCAUCGGGCCACAGGAGGCUUGGCCUCUGUCCCUGCCGGGAGGGCCGGGCAGAAGACGGGCGACCCACACAGCUGGCACGUUGUGAGGGCUUGGAUGGAGUCCUGAGGCUGAGGGAGAUGGAGCAGUCUCUGCGGAGGAAGUAGGCAGCGAGGUCAGCCAGCUUCAAGUGCGGGACCGCUGAGACCCUGUGCAUCCUCGUCAGGAACGGGGACCAGGAGCAGCAGCGUCGGGUCGGCUCGGAGUGAUGGAGUGUGUGGUUGUAGUUACGGUAAUGAGCGCCCCGGAGAGUCUGUGCACUGAGGCCCUGGCCUGGCCCCGGGGGGAUGGGGAGGGGACAGGGCGGGCCCUGGGGGGAUGCGGAGGGGGUGGGGCUGGCCCCGCCCGUGCUGCCGGGAGCUUCAGCCCUCCCCAGGCCCAGUUCAUCCGGUCUGCGCUUUUAAGAGUGACCAUCGGGCGGUUUUCCCACUGGAACACAUAAGGCGUUUGCUGCUAGAACGCACAGCCAGCCUGACCCCAUGCCUGCCAGCCAGGCAAAGUCUGGGGUCUGCUUGUGGGGACGUUGCCUCUGCAUGGCCUGAGGGAAGGUUUUGGGAGGGUUCUCACUAAACGGGAAAGGGAACAGGACCACUCCAGGCCCAGCCUUUGUGCCGCACGUCCUUAUUUCUGCUGCUCUGACGCCGCGUUUCACCUUGGCCCUGGGUUUUAGUAUCACCCGAGUGUGAAUUCUGGAGGCCCAGCAGCUGCCUUCCACAACCUGAGACGCCACCUGGCAGCCUGGGCAAGGCAGGGCCUGCAGGGCUAGGGCCGGCGACCUGGGGGCUGUUCCUGAGGCUCCCUCUGGGCAGGGCUGAGUCUGGAGCCGGCUCCACUUGCGCGUCUGAAGCUCCGUCUCUUUGGGCCUGUGGGCCCUGCCCACCUUCCUCCCUUGGCACUGCAGCCUGUGGGGCACAGGGUCCCCACCUCUGCCCCCCUUGCUGUGUGGUCUUCUGGCUUCUCCGCAUGGGUCCAGGCCACCGCUCCGUGGAUCUUCAGCCCUCCCCGGCCUGGGUUCCACUCGCUCUCCAGACGCAGCUUGGGCAAGGGGGUGUCUCUCCCCUUUGCCACUUCCUGGGUGCUCCUGUGGUACCUGCCUGUUCCUCCGGGGCCACGGCAGCCUUGGGGUGGGCUGGAGUGACCCCCCACUUCCUGCUGUCAGACCACCCCCCAUCUGGAGGCAGGUCAGAGACGUCUCAGGUUCCUUUGUGCUCCGAUCUGCCUGAUGGGGGCGUCGUGGUAUCCCCAGCCCUGUCAGGAGUUGUGAUUCUUGAAGCCAUUGUGGGUAGUGGUUUCUGAAUGCAGGUUUGAUAGAUCAUGUGUGCUUCCUGUAUAAUCUCCAGGGUCGUGUUUAAGAUGACGUAUUUAAAAUGUGCACACACACGUACUUAACAGAUACCCAAAAAACCA